Molecule: ribosomal RNA, 333 nt
Filed under: uncultured bacterium
Lineage: Bacteria
Description: partial 16S ribosomal RNA
Rfam family: Bacterial small subunit ribosomal RNA
Source: RNAcentral
CCUACGGGGGACAGCAGUCGAGAAUCAUUCACAAUGGGGGAAACCCUGAUGGGGCGACGCCGCGUGGGGGAAUGAAGGUCUGCGGAUUGUAAACCCCUGUCAUGUGGGAGCAAAUUAAAAAGAUAGUACCACAAGAGGAAGAGACGGCUAACUCUGUGCCAGCAGCCGCGGUAAUACAGAGGUCUCAAGCGUUGUUCGGAAUCACUGGGCGUAAAGCGUGCGUAGGCGGUUUCGUAAGUCGUGUGUGAAAGGCGCGGGCUCAACCCGCGGACGGCACAUGUUACUGCGAGACUAGAGUAAUGUAGGGGGAACCCGAUUUCUCGGUGUAGCCGU